Molecule: long non-coding RNA, 222 nt
Filed under: Bos mutus (wild yak)
Lineage: Eukaryota; Metazoa; Chordata; Mammalia; Artiodactyla; Bovidae
Description: lncRNA (ENSBMUG00000006580.1)
Source: RNAcentral
CGCCCCUCCCUUGGGGCGCACUCCGUAUAGCGUCUCUGAGUUGGACUGGACCCAUGGCUCAUCCCGUUUCGGUGCGGAUCCAGCGCAGCGCCCGCGCCCGGCGUGCCUAAAGAGCUGUCAUGCUGAGACUUUCUCCAGGAGCUGGGGCAGAGUGCUGAUAUUUUUAUAGCAGCAGAGUGUGCCAGAGGCCAGCAGCUGCUCAGGGAAGGCACUGCUACGCUG